RNAcentral lists this ribosomal RNA (483 nucleotides) under uncultured bacterium. RNAcentral describes it as "bacterial SSU rRNA". It matches the Rfam family "Bacterial small subunit ribosomal RNA", at positions 30 to 507 of the family's 1533-position model. The record is from RNAcentral.
AUUGAACGCUGGCGGCGAUGCCUUACACAUGCAAGUCGAACGGUAACGGGCCUUCGGGUGCCGACGAGUGGCGAACGGGUGAGUAAUGCAUCGGAACGUACCUUUCAGUGGGGGAUAACGUAGCGAAAGUUACGCUAAUACCGCAUAUUCUGUGAGCAGGAAAGCAGGGGAUCGCAAGACCUUGCGCUGAUUGAGCGGCCGAUGUCAGAUUAGCUAGUUGGUGAGGUAAAGGCUCACCAAGGCGACGAUCUGUAGCGGGUCUGAGAGGAUGAUCCGCCACACUGGAACUGAGACACGGUCCAGACUCCUACGGGAGGCAGCAGUGGGGAAUUUUGGACAAUGGGGGCAACCCUGAUCCAGCCAUGCCGCGUGAGUGAAGAAGGCCUUCGGGUUGUAAAGCUCUUUCGGCCGGGAAGAAAUCGCAUGGGCUAAUACCCUGUGCGGAUGACGGUACCGGCAUAAGAAGCACCGGCUAACUACGUG